This 1441-nucleotide ribosomal RNA is filed under the name uncultured organism. RNAcentral describes it as "16S ribosomal RNA". It matches the Rfam family "Bacterial small subunit ribosomal RNA". The record is from RNAcentral.
UGGCUCAGGAUGAACGCUAGCUACAGGCUUAACACAUGCAAGUCGAGGGGCAUCAGGAAGAAAGCUUGCUUUCUUUGCUGGCGACCGGCGCACGGGUGAGUAACACGUAUCCAACCUGCCCUUUACUCGGGGAUAGCCUUUCGAAAGAAAGAUUAAUACCCGAUAGCAUAAUGAUUCCGCAUGGUUUCAUUAUUAAAGGAUUCCGGUAAAGGAUGGGGAUGCGUUCCAUUAGGUUGUUGGUGAGGUAACGGCCCACCAAGCCUUCGAUGGAUAGGGGUUCUGAGAGGAAGGUCCCCCACAUUGGAACUGAGACACGGUCCAAACUCCUACGGGAGGCAGCAGUGAGGAAUAUUGGUCAAUGGGCGCUAGCCUGAACCAGCCAAGUAGCGUGAAGGAUGAAGGCUCUAUGGGUCGUAAACUUCUUUUAUAUAAGAAUAAAGUGCAGUAUGUAUACUGUUUUGUAUGUAUUAUAUGAAUAAGGAUCGGCUAACUCCGUGCCAGCAGCCGCGGUAAUACGGAGGAUCCGAGCGUUAUCCGGAUUUAUUGGGUUUAAAGGGAGCGUAGGUGGACUGGUAAGUCAGUUGUGAAAGUUUGCGGCUCAACCGUAAAAUUGCAGUUGAUACUGUCAGUCUUGAGUACAGUAGAGGUGGGCGGAAUUCGUGGUGUAGCGGUGAAAUGCUUAGAUAUCACGAAGAACUCCGAUUGCGAAGGCAGCUCACUGGACUGCAACUGACACUGAUGCUCGAAAGUGUGGGUAUCAAACAGGAUUAGAUACCCUGGUAGUCCACACAGUAAACGAUGAAUACUCGCUGUUUGCGAUAUACAGUAAGCGGCCAAGCGAAAGCAUUAAGUAUUCCACCUGGGGAGUACGCCGGCAACGGUGAAACUCAAAGGAAUUGACGGGGGCCCGCACAAGCGGAGGAACAUGUGGUUUAAUUCGAUGAUACGCGAGGAACCUUACCCGGGCUUAAAUUGCAGUGGAAUGAUGUGGAAACAUGUCAGUGAGCAAUCACCGCUGUGAAGGUGCUGCAUGGUUGUCGUCAGCUCGUGCCGUGAGGUGUCGGCUUAAGUGCCAUAACGAGCGCAACCCUUAUCUUUAGUUACUAACAGGUUAUGCUGAGGACUCUAGAGAGACUGCCGUCGUAAGAUGUGAGGAAGGUGGGGAUGACGUCAAAUCAGCACGGCCCUUACGUCCGGGGCUACACACAUGUUACAAUGGGGGGUACAGAAGGCAGCUAGCGGGUGACCGUAUGCUAAUCCCAAAAUCCUCUCUCAGUUCGGAUCGAAGUCUGCAACCCGACUUCGUGAAGCUGGAUUCGCUAGUAAUCGCGCAUCAGCCACGGCGCGGUGAAUACGUUCCCGGGCCUUGUACACACCGCCCGUCAAGCCAUGGGAGCCGGGGGUACCUGAAGUACGUAACCGCAAGGAUCGUCCUAGGGUA